Musa acuminata AAA Group (dessert banana) is the source of this 2606-nucleotide RNA transcript. It is a transcript of the gene named pentatricopeptide repeat-containing protein At2g21090-like, with no coding region annotated. The transcript has 2 exons. The record is from RefSeq and is a predicted model, not a curated record. NCBI's taxonomy places the organism in Eukaryota, Viridiplantae, Streptophyta, Magnoliopsida, Zingiberales, Musaceae.
AAGAGCGCACAGUCUCUGAUGCCCUCACGAUGAGGCCGGCCGCACCCGCAGCCGUCUCCCGAUGCCCACCCAUCCCCCCCCGUGCCUCCUCCAGUCCCUCCGCCACUGCCUCGCCGUCGGCCACCUUGACCUCGCCGUCGAUACCCUCCCCCUCCUCGCUCGUUGCGGCCUCCGCCCUGACUCCGCCACCCUUGCUCUCCUCCUCCGCUUGUGCCUCCGGUCCCCCGCCGCCCUUCCCUUAGCUGGCCGUGUCCACCUCUUCCUUCGCCUCUCCGGCCUCCUCUGUGCUGCCCCCACCCCUCCUCUCGCCAAUCACCUACUCGCCUUUCACUUCCUCCGCGGCCGCCCUGACGACGCUCGCCGCCUCUUCCGCCGGAUGGCCACCCCCAACCUCUUCUCCUUCAACACCAUGCUCGCAGGAUACGCCCGCCUCGGCAUGCUCCACCAAGCCAGGCGCCUCUUCGACCGCAUGCCCCACCGCGACGUCGUAUCGUGGAACACCAUGAUCCUCGCCCUCGCUCGCGCUGGCUCUUGCGGCGACGCCGUCGGCCUCUAUUCCCAGCUCCGCCGCUUCUCACUCGGGUUCAACGCCCACACUUUCUCCGGCCUCCUGGUCGCCUGCGUUCGGCUCGGGGAGGCGCACCUCGUCCGCCAGGUCCACGCCCAGGUGCUCCUUGUCGGGUUCUUGACCAAUAUCAUCAUCUCCAGCUCUCUGGUCAACUCUUACACGAAAUGUGGGUUUGUGGAUGAUGCCAGGAAGCUGUUUGAUGAGAUGCCUACCAGAGAUGUGCUAGCUUGGACUACCCUGGUUCACGGUCUUGCCAGCAGCGGCGACCUAGUUUCUGCUCGUAGGGUGUUUGAUGAGAUGCCGGAGAAGAAUUCCAUCUCCUGGACUGCCUUGAUUGGAAGUUACACACGCCAUGGCCACCCUUUCGAAGCUCUGGAUCUGUUUAGAAACAUGAUGAAAUUGGGAGUUUCGCCAGAUCAGUUCACUUUCAGCAGUGCCCUUUGUGCCUGCGGUGCUAUUGCUUCAGUGAAGCAUGGAAAGCAGAUCCAUGCUCGCUUGCUGAGAACCCGUUUCAACCCAAAUGCCAUAGUCAUCAGUUCUCUCGUUGAUAUGUAUUCCAAGUGUGGGGAUCUGGCAGGAGGUCAAAGGGUUUUUGAUCUUACGGAUGCUGGCAGGAUGGACACUGUGUUGUGGAAUACAAUGAUGUCGGCUGCUGGGCAGCAUGGUGAUGGAAUAGAGGCCGUUAAAAUGUUUGAGGAGAUGAUUAAAACAGGGACAAAGCCUGAUGCUAAUACUUUCAUAGUUCUUUUGACUGCAUGCAGUCAUUCAGGCCUUGUAGAGCAGGGGUUACGGUUAUUCUGUUCCAUGAGGAAACAACAUGGUGUUGUUCCGGAUGAAGAUCACUAUGUGUGUUUGGUAGACAUGCUGGGCCGAGCAGGGCGUCUUGAAGAGGCAACAGAAUGCCUCAGGGAGAUGCCUUGUGGACCCAGUGCUCGAGCAUGGAACGCAUUGCUAGGGGUUUGUAGGAUUCAUGGGAACUUACGGCUUGGAAGGAUGGUGGCACAAAGGGCUAUUAAGUCGGAUCCAGAAUGUCCGACAGCGUAUGUCCUGCUUUCAAAUUUCUAUGCAGAUCUUGGACAGUGGGAAUCUGUGGAGAAGGUCAGACACCUCAUGCAGGAGAAUAAAGCAAUGAAAGAACGAGCUUCCAGCUGGAUUCCAUUUGAUAAUGAGAUCCAGUCUUUGGGAGCCUUGGAUCAAUUGCAGCCCGCGGAGGAGGUUGUAUGUGUCAGGAACAUUAGUUUGUCAGAUGAAGCAUAGUUCUCUGGUUCCCUGAGUUCUUAGCUCUAAAGAAGCACUUUUUUCUGUGUUAUGUGCGUGAAGUAGAACCACAGUUCCUUUUGGAUUCCAUGACCUUCAGCAAUGUCCAGCAAACUCAGAAUUUUACAACUAAGUCAUGCAAAGCCAUACCAUUUUGUGCAGUUUGAAUGUUAGCAUGUAGUAAGGAUACAUGCUGAAGCCUUUGCCUAUGCUUGCCUCAGAAAAAAAUACGCCAAAGCCAGUGCAAGGCAGACUGGACAUGGUUUUAUUAUAGGCAUCAAUUUGUGCAACAUUUAUGCCUGUGCCGUCAAUAUCGUAGCAAGAUGUUGGAGAAGAACAAGUCUCAGUGGUUGGAUGGUAAGCAAGCAGGUUCCUUCAAAACUCUGCCACCGCCCAGUAUUCUUUCUGCGGCAACUUACUUGCCGAAGGUUGACUACUGAUUCAUACUGUUAGGUGAAGAGAAAAUAAUCUUAAAAGUUUGGUUCUUAUGAAUCUAUUUAUCGAUAAAAAUGGUCGUUCAGUGCGAGAGAUUUCGGCCAAUGUGGGGAUUUCUGGAACUCAGGCUUUAAUUAUCCAGCAGCAAAGACAGUAUCUAUUUGUUCAAUAAUAUCGAUCCUCGGGUCGAUAUUCUGUUCAAGAUUUAUUUGUAUUUGUGUUUUUUCUUUCUCUGACCGGUAAUGUGAUGUAAAAAGGUUCUGCUCCUUGUAGGUUUAGUAUUUCAGGGAUCAAACAUAUUUUCAUUGAGUUUUAGACAAUGUUACAUGCAUAUAUUUUCAUCUUC